This 501-nucleotide ribosomal RNA is filed under the name Clarias gariepinus (North African catfish). Its description in RNAcentral is "partial large subunit ribosomal RNA". The record is from RNAcentral. Lineage: Eukaryota; Metazoa; Chordata; Actinopteri; Siluriformes; Clariidae.
AAUUGGGGUGAGGAAAAGAAACCUUUGAAAAGGCGGAGGGACUAAUUAAACGGCCGGCGGUAUUUUGACCGUGCGUAGGUAGCGCAAUCACUUGUCUUUUAAUGAAGACCUGUAUGAAUGGUGGACGAGGGCUUAACUGUCUCCCCCUUCGAGUCAAUGAAAUUGAUCUGCCCGUGCAGAAGCGGACAUAAAAAUACUAGACGAGAAGACCUUUUGAACUUAAGAUACAGGAUCAACUAUGUCAAGAACCCAAAAGUUUAACUAAAUAGCAACUUGAUCCCAAUCUUCGGUUGGGGCGACCGCGGGAGAAAACAAAGUCCCACGCGUACUGGGCACCGCGAGACCAGAAGACUUUUCAGUCCGAUUUCUGACUUUAGAUCCGCAGAGCCGUCUACGACGAUUCCACGUUACACGAUCCUUUCGAAUCCAUCCACAGAGGUUACACUCUGUGACCGAUCAUGUGACCUUUAGGUUCGUGUCAGGUAGUCAUCAUUUCAAAGA